This 406-nucleotide ribosomal RNA is filed under the name uncultured bacterium. RNAcentral describes it as "partial 16S ribosomal RNA". It matches the Rfam family "Bacterial small subunit ribosomal RNA", at positions 30 to 526 of the family's 1533-position model. The record is from RNAcentral.
AUUGAACGCUGGCGGCAGGCCUAACACAUGCAAGUCGAACGAGUGGCGGACUGGUGAGUAAUGUCUGGGAAACUGCCUGAUGGAGGGGGAUAACUACUGGAAACGGUAGCUAAUACCGCAUACCAUCGGAUGUGCCCAGAUGGGAUGAGAUAGUAGGUGGGGUAAAGGCUCACCUAGGCGACGAUCCCUAUCUGGUCUGAGAGGAUGACCAGCACACAUGGAAAUGAGCCACGGUCCAGACUCCUACGGGAGGCAGGAGUGGGGAAUAUUGCACAAUGGGCGAAAGCCUGAUGCAGCCAUGCCGCGUGUAGGAAGAAGGCCUUCGGGUUGUAAAGUACUUGCAGCGGGGAGGCGUUACCCGCAGAAGAAGCACCGGCUAACUCCGUGCCAGCAGCCGCGGUAAUUC